This 624-nucleotide long non-coding RNA is filed under the name Musa acuminata (dwarf banana). RNAcentral's name for it is "long non-coding RNA (MACU_LNC003102)". Lineage: Eukaryota; Viridiplantae; Streptophyta; Magnoliopsida; Zingiberales; Musaceae. The record is from RNAcentral.
AUUAAGCAACCCAAACUCACCCGCUUUGGUCCCACAUAGGUCCAUGACGUGAUAACUCAACUGAUUACAAGUAAAUGAAGCAACGCUAUAAGUUCCAAGCAAUUAGGCAAACACAUCAGAUGCACAAUUGUAUGACCAAUAAACCGCAACCUUUGCAGAACAACAAAAUCCCUAAAAUGAUCAUACUUGUUUUCUAUUUUGCGAUAUUCCGAGAAGCUUCGAGUCCGAUAACGGAACACUCUCUCGCUGCUCCCUCACAGAAGCAAAAAAAAAAAAAUUCGCAGUUUUCAGCAAUAUAGCUCAGAUAAAGAGACAACAUACACGAGGGAAGAAGAGAAAAUGGACUUGAAAUUUAAAAUUUCCGUCUAGGGCUUAUGAACAGAGGAAAAACAAUAAAUGACCAAACCAAGAUCUGAUCUUUUACCCGGAGGAAGCAACGAUCGGCGCACCCCGGCCUAGAAUUCCGUCAAAUCGAUCAGAAUGGAAAACGAAAGAGGUUGUAUGGAGAAAUGUUAAGAAGUGAGAAGCAGAAGGGUCUCGGAUCCUGUGACAGAUCGAGAGACAGAGAAAACAGGGCAGGGUUUUGAGGAUCGGAAAGAUAGGAGGCCGUAAAAAGGCCGUUUU